AAGCAUAUAAUUAAGCGGAGGAAAAGAAACUAACCAGGAUUCCCCUAGUAAGGGCGACUGAAGCGGGAAUAGCUCAUCAUGUGAAUCUGUGCCCUUGGCACCGAAUUGUGGUCUAGAGAAGCAUGUGUUUGGCACGCCGGGUCAAGUCCCUUGGAAAAGGGCAGCUGAGAGGGUGAGACUCCCGUUCAUGCCUGGGCUGUGGCCAUUUGACACUUGCUUUCGACGAGUCGAGUUGUUUGGGAUUGCAGCUCAAAGUCGGUGGUAAAUUCCAUCUAAAGCUAAAUAUGGGUGGGAGACCGAUAGUGUACAAGUACCGUGAGGGAAAGAUGCAAAGAACUUUGAAAAGAGAGUUAAAGAGUACCUGAAAUUGCUGAAAGGGAAGCGAAGGAAACCAGUGUUGUUGCUUAGUCAUACUUCUCCUCCUGCUUGCAGGUGGGGCGCUGUGGCUUUGCAGUGGUCAUUAUUGGUUGGUCCCGGCAGAAACCUGGCUGUGGGAGGUAGGUCCUUUUGGACUGAUACCAUGGUCAUGUGUGUCGGGAAUGACUGAUAUUGACGAAAUGG
This 561-nucleotide ribosomal RNA is filed under the name Coccinelloidea gracilis. RNAcentral's name for it is "partial large subunit ribosomal RNA". It matches the Rfam family "Eukaryotic large subunit ribosomal RNA", at positions 36 to 599 of the family's 3401-position model. The record is from RNAcentral. Lineage: Eukaryota; Bacillariophyta; Plagiogrammaphyceae; Plagiogrammales; Plagiogrammaceae.